GAUGAACGCUGGCGGCGUGCCUAAUACAUGCAAGUCGAGCGAACAGACGAGGAGCUUGCUCCUCUGACGUUAGCGGCGGACGGGUGAGUAACACGUUGAUAACCUACCUAUAAGACUGGGAUAACUUCGGGAAACCGGAGCUAAUACCGGAUAACAUGUUGAACCGCAUGGUUCAACAGUGAAAGACGGUCUUGCUGUCACUUAUAGAUGGAUCCGCGCCGCAUUAGCUAGUUGGUAAGGUAACGGCUUACCAAGGCAACGAUGCGUAGCCGACCUGAGAGGGUGAUCGGCCACACUGGAACUGAGACACGGUCCAGACUCCUACGGGAGGCAGCAGUAGGGAAUCUUCCGCAAUGGGCGAAAGCCUGACGGAGCAACGCCGCGUGAGUGAAGAAGGUCUUCGGAUCGUAAAACUCUGUUAUUAGGGAAGAACAAAUGUGUAAGUAACUAUGCACGUCUUGACGGUACCUAAUCAGAAAGCCACGGCUAACUACGUG
This 497-nucleotide ribosomal RNA is filed under the name uncultured bacterium. RNAcentral's name for it is "partial 16S ribosomal RNA". It matches the Rfam family "Bacterial small subunit ribosomal RNA", at positions 28 to 507 of the family's 1533-position model. The record is from RNAcentral.